RNAcentral lists this ribosomal RNA (1527 nucleotides) under Triticum aestivum (bread wheat). RNAcentral's name for it is "partial small subunit ribosomal RNA". The record is from RNAcentral. Lineage: Eukaryota; Viridiplantae; Streptophyta; Magnoliopsida; Poales; Poaceae.
AUGCGAAAUUUGGGGAAGCGCGCGAAGCGGGGCGGACCGCGGUGUUCGGACGAGACAGGGCAUAGACGCCUCGAUCCCCGCGCCGCUUUUUUCGCCACGUAUCGCGUCCGCGUAACUGUUCAGGAUAUGAUUAGAUCGACCGGAUCCACCUGUCAUCCACUCGGAAGGGAUCUUAUAAAUGCGCCCGGCGAGGGUUUUUUGAACAGUGCCCCAGCAUUCUCUCUCUGCUCCCUUCGUCUCCACCCAACGCGCUCGCUCUCGCCUCCGCACAACUUCCCCUCGCGCGUCCCGCCGGCAGCCAUGGUCAAGGAGAAGACGGCGGUGUUGGAACGCGCAAAGAAGGCGUUGGUGACGGAGAAGGCGAAGGGGAGAUCCACCAGUCGUGGCGGGUCUUUGUCUAGAUCUCGCCUGCCGAAAGGCUGGGUCCAGGGAGAUUGGAUCCAGUCGACCAUCACGGAGAAGGAUCUCCUCGACAUGGCCAACGAGGGCCUGAUCCCUCAUGGAGCUGCGAGGCUUUCGGGGAAAGAGUGGCAGCCCCAGCCGGAAGAGGGUGAGUGCGUGCUUCUGGCUACCCAUGUCGACCGCGGAUUUUCUUUGCCGCCGAGCAUUUUCUUCCGUGGUUUCUUGAACUUCUUUGGAGCGCAACUCCACCACUUCACCCCGAAUUCUAUCGCCUAUCUUGCCGCGUUUGUGUCCAUGUGUGAGAGUUUCCUGGGUUGUCGACCGCAUUGGGGUUUGUUCAAGCACAUAUUCACGUGUCGCUCUCAGACCGUGAAGAAGGCGAGCCCAGGCGACGAAAAAACCCGAGUUGUCCAAAUGUGUGGGGGUCUGGGGAUCCAGGUGAGGAACAAGAGCACCUUCCCAGCCAUGACAUUUCCCGAGUCAGUCAGAGGCUGGCAGUCGACCUGGUUCUACUGCCAGGAUCAGUCGACGCCGGGGCAGUCGAGUGGACUCCCUCAGUUCACCAUGGGCCGAGUGAACAAGCCCUCCUCUCUAAAGGUGAUUCCGAAGGAGAAAGCUGACGUGAAGAUGCUGAUGGAGCAUGUAGUUCAGUUGGUUCGGGAGGGAGUGACGGGUAUGGAUCUCCUGGAGGUUUUCCUUAGGCGUCGUAUCCAGCCUCUUCAGUUCCGGAGCCAUUGCAUGUGGUUGUACUGCGGGACUGAGGAUGUGACUCGGGUCAAUCCAGAAACAGUCGACGAUGCCACUCUAGAAAGGUGGAUGGCCGCUGUUACUGGGAACAAGGAUAACCCUCGCAGAGCCAGAAGGAUUCCUCCACUCGACUGCCACAGUGAUCCAAAUAAGGCCCUCACUGAGCUGUACUCGAUGCCCAACGGAGCACAGGCUCCGACUGAGGAGGGAGAAGCGAGCGGGGGCGAGAGCCAGGAGGAGGAGUGGGACUCGGACGCCGCUGAGGAUGAUGAUGAUGAUGACGAUGAUGACGAUGAUGAUGAUGAUGGUGAGGACGAGGAAGAGGAGGAGGAGGAGGUUGCACCACCGCUCGGAAAGGCGGUCGAAGCUUGUCCAUGA